RNAcentral lists this ribosomal RNA (253 nucleotides) under uncultured bacterium. RNAcentral's name for it is "partial 16S ribosomal RNA". It matches the Rfam family "Bacterial small subunit ribosomal RNA", at positions 524 to 776 of the family's 1533-position model. The record is from RNAcentral.
UACAGAGGUGGCAAGCGUUGUCCGGAUUUACUGGGCGUAAAGGGCGUGCAGGCGGUUUGUUAAGUGCAGGGUGAAAGCUCCCGGCUCAACUGGGAGAGGUCCUUGCAUACUGGCGAACUCGAGGGAGGCAGAGGAAAGUGGAAUUCCCGGUGUAGUGGUGAUAUGCGUAGAUAUCGGGAGGAACACCUGUGGCGAAGGCGGCUUUCUGGGCCUUACCUGACGCUGAGACGCGAAAGCGUGGGGAGCGAACCGG